GAUAGAGUCUGGUGGGGAUUAAAUCUGAGAACAAGGACAAGCAUCAAAUACAGUUCUCUGACAUAUAAUAGGCAUGUGGUAAUCAACACCAGGAGCUACUCCAAGUCAUAAGCGGCUUCCAUGGUGCUGCAGAGGCUGCCUCCAGAAAGCACAGAACCAGAAAAUAACUCCAUUGGUGGAGCAAAUGUCGAGACACUGAAAUUUCUGAUCACCAAUUACAAUGCGUGGAGGAGUUUUUCCCCAUCACAUCACCAAGCCAUGCUCAGGACACCAGGCCCAGCCACAGCACCGCAAACCUACCCAUACCUCCUGUUCCAAACACUCAGGCUCUUCAGCCCCUGAGUGAAUGCUGAGCCAGCCCAGCCCAGAUUUUGCAGCCUGCCACAUCUACUGGUUUUUGAAUCUUAGUUCCCACAUCGACACCGAAGUCUUUGGAAAAAAAGCCAUGAACUGGGGCCAUCGGGGACUACCCUGCCGGCCCUGGAAAUACCAGAAGUUAAGGUAAGUGUCUCUUAGGGUUUUAGAGAUGCAAGUUUAUCAAAGGAAAUCCUGCUUCUUGCUGUGGGGAGUCAUGCAGGGAAACCUCUUGCCCAAGAAGUGACUCAGUCAGGAAAUGUCAAUAAUUUCAAGAGUUGUAGAUACAUUCUCAGAUGAUAGGCUCACCCGGAUCCAUGAGGCAAUAUUUGAAGGCUAGGGAGAGUCCUAAUCUUUAAGAGGAGGACCGCUCUGCAAACUGUUGUCGAUGCACAAGGAGAUUAGUACAGAAACUGACCGUAAGCUUCUAGAAAAUUUUAUAGUAAAUGAUACAGCUGUGAUGUCAAAGUACACGAUCAUUUCCCCAGGAAUGCAUUUUUAUCAUAUUUUAUAAAAAUAUGGGUUCAUAGCAGAGGUUUUAAAAAUCGGGUCUUUAUCACGGACAAGUUGAGAAGCACAGGUACAGAGAGCUACGAGACCCACCUCUCAGAGGUUGACCCCUGUCAGAAGGAGCACAAAGGUGAUUUGUCCUCUGUGUCUGGGGUGGAGAGGGGUAGGAAGAGUUAGCAAGGAUCCUUCUAGUUUUAUAAUCCAAACCUUAAGAGUUUACUUGGCUGGAGGCCAGCUUCGGAUUCAUGGCAAACUGAUUCUUGGCAAGUGGCAGCCCUCAUUACGUCCCUUUUAUUUCAGCAGGGAGAAAAAAGCAAAAGCACCCUUCUAUAGGGUGUUUGGGAAGGAGGCACCAGCCAUUGUUACUACUAUUUACUGAGUGGCGGAGCCAGCAUUGGAAUCCCACCUGCCUCUGGGCCUUUGCACAUGUUGUUCCUCCUGCCUGGCCUUCCUCAGCUAUCUACCAUCACAGUGAUAGCUGUUUCACUUCCUUCAAGUGACGCUCAUGUAUUUAUCCCUCCAGGUGCCUGUCCUGCUUCUCCCCUCCACUCAUUCAAGUUCUUUAUUGCUCCCUACGCUUCCUUUUCAUGGCAAUACUAACAGAACUAACUGUGCAAUCAAUUGUUUACUUUUGUGAGUUUAAUUGUGAGUUUCCCGGGGGCAAAGACGAAAUCUCUCCUCCUCAUUCUGCCAUCCUCAUUGCCUAGUACGGUUUGACACACAGUAGGUGUUUCACACGUAUAUAGAGCAAAGGAAAGAGUGAAUAAAUAAACAAAUGAAUGGAUGGAUAGAUAACA
Molecule: long non-coding RNA, 1661 nt
Filed under: Felis catus (domestic cat)
Lineage: Eukaryota; Metazoa; Chordata; Mammalia; Carnivora; Felidae
Description: lncRNA (ENSFCAG00000053265.1)
Source: RNAcentral